This 506-nucleotide ribosomal RNA is filed under the name uncultured bacterium. RNAcentral's name for it is "partial 16S ribosomal RNA". It matches the Rfam family "Bacterial small subunit ribosomal RNA", at positions 28 to 523 of the family's 1533-position model. The record is from RNAcentral.
GAUGAACGCUAGCUACAGGCUUAACACAUGCAAGUCGAGGGGUAACGAGAGGAAAGCUUGCUUUCCUUGUCGACGACCGGCGCACGGGUGAGUAACGCGUAUCCAACCUGCCCCCAGCUAGGGAAUAACCUUGCGAAAGUAAGACUAAUACCCUAUAAUUUCCUCAGAUGACAUCUGACGAGGAAUAAAGAUUUAUCGGUUGUGGAUGGGGAUGCGUCUGAUUAGCUUGUUGGCGGGGUAACGGCCCACCAAGGCAACGAUCAGUAGGGGUUCUGAGAGGAAGGUCCCCCACAUUGGAACUGAGACAAGGUCCAAACUCAUACGGGAGGCAGCAGUGAGGAAUAUUGGUCAAUGGGCGGAAGCCUGAACCAGCCAAGUAGCGUGCAGGAUGACGGCCCUAUGGGUUGUAAACUGCUUUUAUACAGGAAUAAAGUUAGCCACGUGUGGUUAUUUGUAGGUACUGUAUGAAUAAGGACCGGCUAAUUCCGUGCCAGCCGCCGCCGUAA